UAGGGAAUAUUGGACAAUGGGCGCAAGCCUGAUCCAGCCAUGCCGCGUGGGGGAUGAAGGCCUUCGGGUCGUAAACCCCUUUUCUGGGAGAAGAACCGUUCGGGGAGGAAAUGCCCCGGAUUUGACGGUAUCCCAGGGAUAAGCAACGGCUAACUCCGUGCCAGCAGCCGCGGUAAUACGGAGGUUGCAAGCGUUGUUCGGAAUUACUGGGCGUAAAGGGAGCGCAGGCGGUUAGGUCAGUCUGAAGUGAAAGCCCGGGGCUCAACCCCGGAAGGGCUUUGGAUACUGCCUGACUUGAGUACGUGAUAGGAGAGCGGAAUUCCAGGUGUAGCGGUGAAAUGCGUAGAUAUCUGGAGGAACACCGGUGGCGAAAGCGGCUCUCUGGCACGCUACUGACGCUGAGGCUCGAAAGCGUGGGGAGCAAACGG
Molecule: ribosomal RNA, 428 nt
Filed under: uncultured bacterium
Lineage: Bacteria
Description: bacterial SSU rRNA
Rfam family: Bacterial small subunit ribosomal RNA
Source: RNAcentral